RNAcentral lists this ribosomal RNA (254 nucleotides) under uncultured bacterium. RNAcentral describes it as "partial 16S ribosomal RNA". It matches the Rfam family "Bacterial small subunit ribosomal RNA", at positions 524 to 776 of the family's 1533-position model. The record is from RNAcentral.
UACGUAGGGGGCAAGCGUUGUCCGGAUUUAUUGGGCGUAAAGAGCUCGUAGGUGGUUCGGUAAGUCGGAUGUGAAAUCUCCAGGCUCAACCUGGAGGGGUCAUUCGAUACUGCCGUGACUAGAGGUCGGUAGGGGAGUGUGGAAUUCCUGGUGGAGCGGUGAAAUGCGCAGAUAUCAGGAGGAACACCCGUAGCGAAGGCGGCACUCUGGGCCGAUACUGACACUGAGGAGCGAAAGCGUGGGGAGCGAACGGG